UGCUCCCCCAAUCUGGGAGCAGUUCUCCUCCGCCCCACACCUGCAUCUGGACACUCCUUCAUAUCCGUGCCGGAGCCGUGGCCAAGCCAAGGGCACUGGGGCACAAAGGGCAGAGUCCAUGCCUUUUCUGCCACUCGACAGGUAAACAGCUGCUGCUGUGUGUCUGCUGUGGUCUGGGCCAUCCUUCCGCACUCCCGGAGGGCAGGAGCACCAUGGAUAGGUCCCCGGACUAAGACUCCGGGAGUGUCUCAAGGACUCUCUUCCACGGAUUUAGUGAAUGGCUUUCGUACCCUUUUAAGAGGUCAAGGUCCCAGUGGAGUGAGAACACCUGACACCUGCGCCAGUGGCGGGUCCGGAGCCUAGGGGACAGCGCAGUCACCUGACUGCAGCGCUCGUGAUUUGGUGUCGAGGUACCUAGCGCCACCGUGCGGCCAGUUCUCAAAGCUUGCGCUGUGUGCAAAGAUGACCCGGGCACUUAACAGACCAGGAUGCACGUGAUGUACAAGAUAUAAAACACUUACAUAAAAUAAAUCUUUGGCCUGGCGGUGGUGGCUCACGCCUUGAAUCCCAGCACGCGGGAGGCAGAGGCAGGCGGAUCUCUGUGAGUUCGAGGCCAGCC
Peromyscus maniculatus bairdii (prairie deer mouse) is the source of this 619-nucleotide non-coding RNA. Lineage: Eukaryota; Metazoa; Chordata; Mammalia; Rodentia; Cricetidae. The record is from RefSeq and is a predicted model, not a curated record.